CCUUACAAUCAAUGAGGUAUAACAACCUCAUCAGACAGAGGGGAUUCCUUCCAAUCAAUGAGGUAUAACAACCUCAUCAGCCGGAAGGGAUUCCUUCUCUUGAUGAGGAUGUUAUACCUCAUUGACCGGAAGGAAUCCCUUCUGGCCGAUAAGGUUGUUAUACCUCAUCAACUGGAAGG
This 179-nucleotide microRNA precursor is filed under the name Puccinia graminis f. sp. tritici CRL 75-36-700-3. Its description in RNAcentral is "microRNA MIR807". Lineage: Eukaryota; Fungi; Basidiomycota; Pucciniomycetes; Pucciniales; Pucciniaceae. The record is from RNAcentral.